RNAcentral lists this ribosomal RNA (253 nucleotides) under uncultured bacterium. RNAcentral describes it as "partial 16S ribosomal RNA". It matches the Rfam family "Bacterial small subunit ribosomal RNA", at positions 524 to 776 of the family's 1533-position model. The record is from RNAcentral.
UACGGGGGGGGCAAGCGUUGUUCGGAAUUACUGGGCGUAAAGGGCUCGUAGGUGGCCAACUAAGUCAGACGUGAAAUCCCUCGGCUUAACCGGGGAACUGCGUCUGAUACUGGUUGGCUUGAGUUUGGGAGAGGGAUGCGGAAUUCCAGGUGUAGCGGUGAAAUGCGCAGAUAUCGGAAGGAACACCAGUGGCGAAGGCGGCACUCUGGGCCAGUACUGACACUGAGGAGCGAAAGCGUGGGUAGCGAACAGG